Molecule: ribosomal RNA, 514 nt
Filed under: Malbranchea umbrina
Lineage: Eukaryota; Fungi; Ascomycota; Eurotiomycetes; Onygenales; Malbrancheaceae
Description: eukaryotic LSU rRNA
Rfam family: Eukaryotic large subunit ribosomal RNA
Source: RNAcentral
ACGGCGAGUGAAGCGGCAAAAGCUCAAAUUUGAAAUCUGGCUCCUUUAGGGGUCCGAGUUGUAAUUUGCAGAGGAUGCUUUGGGUGCGUCCGCGGCGUAAGUCCCUUGGAACAGGGUGUCAUAGAGGGUGAGAAUCCCGUCUUGAGUCGCCGGCACGCGCCCGUUUAAAGCUCCUUCGACGAGUCGAGUUGUUUGGGAAUGCAGCUCUAAGUGGGUGGUAAAUUUCAUCUAAAGCUAAAUAUUGGCCGGAGACCGAUAGCGAACAAGUAGAGUGAUCGAAAGGUUAAAAGCACCUUGAAAAGGGAGUUAAAUAGCACGUGAAAUUGUUGAAAGGGAAGCGCUUGCAGCCAGACUCGAGCGCAGAGGCUCAGCGGGCAUUGUUAUGCCCGUGCACUCCUCUGCGCCCGGGCCAGCAUCAGUUUUGGCGGCCGGUCAAAGGCCCUCGGAAUGUGUCGUCCUCCGGGACGUCUUAUAGCCGGGGGUGCAAUGCGGCCAGCCGGGACUGAGGAACGCG